RNAcentral lists this ribosomal RNA (253 nucleotides) under uncultured bacterium. Its description in RNAcentral is "partial 16S ribosomal RNA". It matches the Rfam family "Bacterial small subunit ribosomal RNA", at positions 524 to 776 of the family's 1533-position model. The record is from RNAcentral.
UACGUAGGGUGCAAGCGUUGUCCGGAAUUAUUGGGCGUAAAGAGCUCGUAGGCGGUCUGUCGCGUCUGCUGUGAAAACCUGGGGCUUAACCCCGGGCCUGCAGUGGGUACGGGCAGACUAGAGUGUGGUAGGGGAGACUGGAAUUCCUGGUGUAGCGGUGAAAUGCGCAGAUAUCAGGAGGAACACCGAUGGCGAAGGCAGCCCCCUGGGCUGAGAUUGACGCUCAGGCACGAAAGCGUGGGGAGCAAACAGG